GAUGAACGCUGGCGGCGUGCCUAAUACAUGCAAGUCGAGCGAACAGACAAGGAGCUUGCUCCUUUGACGUUAGCGGCGGACGGGUGAGUAACACGUGGGUAACCUACCUAUAAGACUGGGAUAACUUCGGGAAACCGGAGCUAAUACCGGAUAAUAUUUCGAACCGCAUGGUUCGAUAGUGAAAGAUGGUUUUGCUAUCACUUAUAGAUGGACCCGCGCCGUAUUAGCUAGUUGGUAAGGUAACGGCUUACCAAGGCGACGAUACGUAGCCGACCUGAGAGGGUGAUCGGCCACACUGGAACUGAGACACGGUCCAGACUCCUACGGGAGGCAGCAGUAGGGAAUCUUCCGCAAUGGGCGAAAGCCUGACGGAGCAACGCCGCGUGAGUGAUGAAGGUCUUCGGAUCGUAAAACUCUGUUAUUAGGGAAGAACAUACGUGUAAGUAACUAUGCACGUCUUGACGGUACCUAAUCAGAAAGCCACGGCUAACUACGUGCCAGCAGCCGCGGUAAUACGUAGGUGGCAAGCGUUACCCGGAAUUAUUGGGCGUAAAGCGCGCGUAGGCGGUUUUUUAAGUCUGAUGUGAAAGCCCACGGCUCAACCGUGGAGGGUCAUUGGAAACUGGAAAACUUGAGUGCAGAAGAGGAAAGUGGAAUUCCAUGUGUAGCGGUGAAAUGCGCAGAGAUAUGGAGGAACACCAGUGGCGAAGGCGACUUUCUGGUCUGUAACUGACGCUGACGUGCGAAAGCGUGGGGAUCAAACAGGAUUAGAUACCCUGGUAGUCCACGCCGUAAACGAUGAGUGCUAAGUGUUAGGGGGUUUCCGCCCCUUAGUGCUGCAGCUAACGCAUUAAGCACUCCGCCUGGGGAGUACGACCGCAAGGUUGAAACUCAAAGGAAUUGACGGGGACCCGCACAAGCGGUGGAGCAUGUGGUUUAAUUCGAAGCAACGCGAAGAACCUUACCAAAUCUUGACAUCCUUUGACAACUCUAGAGAUAGAGCCUUCCCCUUCGGGGGACAAAGUGACAGGUGGUGCAUGGUUGUCGUCAGCUCGUGUCGUGAGAUGUUGGGUUAAGUCCCGCAACGAGCGCAACCCUUAAGCUUAGUUGCCAUCAUUAAGUUGGGCACUCUAAGUUGACUGCCGGUGACAAACCGGAGGAAGGUGGGGAUGACGUCAAAUCAUCAUGCCCCUUAUGAUUUGGGCUACACACGUGCUACAAUGGACAAUACAAAGGGCAGCGAAACCGCGAGGUCAAGCAAAUCCCAUAAAGUUGUUCUCAGUUCGGAUUGUAGUCUGCAACUCGACUACAUGAAGCUGGAAUCGCUAGUAAUCGUAGAUCAGCAUGCUACGGUGAAUACGUUCCCGGGUCU
Molecule: ribosomal RNA, 1372 nt
Filed under: uncultured bacterium
Lineage: Bacteria
Description: bacterial SSU rRNA
Rfam family: Bacterial small subunit ribosomal RNA
Source: RNAcentral